Molecule: ribosomal RNA, 255 nt
Filed under: uncultured bacterium
Lineage: Bacteria
Description: partial 16S ribosomal RNA
Rfam family: Bacterial small subunit ribosomal RNA
Source: RNAcentral
UACGUAGGGGGCUAGCGUUGUCCGGAAUCAUUGGGCGUAAAGAGCGUGUAGGCGGCUUUACAGGUCCGUUGUGAAAACUCGAGGCUCAACCUCGAGACGCCGGUGGAAACCGUAAGGCUAGAGUCCGGAAGAGGAGGAGUGGAAUUCCGUGGUGUAGCGGUGAAAUGCGCAGAUAUCAGGAGGAACACCCGUGGCGAAAGCGGCUCUCUGGGACGGUACUGACGCUGAGGAGCGAAAGCGUGGGGAGCAAACAGG